AUUGAACGCUGGCGGCAUGCCUUACACAUGCAAGUCGAACGGCAGCACGGGUGCUUGCACCUGGUGGCGAGUGGCGAACGGGUGAGUAAUAUAUCGGAACGUACCUUAUUGUGGGGGAUAACGCAGCGAAAGCUGUGCUAAUACCGCAUAAUCCCUAAGGGGGAAAGCGGGGGACCGUAAGGCCUCGCGCAAUUAGAGCGGCCGAUACCGGAUUAGCUAGUUGGUGAGGUAAAGGCUCACCAAGGCAACGAGCAGUAGCUGGUCUGAGAGGCCGAUCAGCCACACUGGGACUGAGACCCGGCCCAGACUCCUACGGGAGGCAGCAGUGGGGAAUUUUGGACAAUGGGGGCAACCCUGAUCCAGCAAUGCCGCGUGAGUGAAGAAGGCCUUCGGGUUGUAAAGCUCUUUCGUCAGGGAAGAAACAGCAGCUCUAACACAGUUUGCGAAUGACGGUACCUGAAGAAUAAGCACCGGCUAACUACGUGCCAGCAGCCGCCGUAA
This 501-nucleotide ribosomal RNA is filed under the name uncultured bacterium. RNAcentral describes it as "partial 16S ribosomal RNA". It matches the Rfam family "Bacterial small subunit ribosomal RNA", at positions 30 to 523 of the family's 1533-position model. The record is from RNAcentral.